This 66-nucleotide transfer RNA is filed under the name Raillietina sp. 2 Nebraska. RNAcentral's name for it is "tRNA-Thr". The record is from RNAcentral. Lineage: Eukaryota; Metazoa; Platyhelminthes; Cestoda; Cyclophyllidea; Davaineidae.
GGUUGUUUAGUUUAAAUUAAAAUAUAGGUUUUGUAAUCCUAUGAUAGUUUUUGUGAUUAAUGACCU